UUGUAGUUUUAUUUUGGUAACUACUAAAGUAGUAAAAACGUAAGUUUCUCCCUUCUGCAAAACACUUGGAAUAGCUCUUGGAGCAUCAGUGAGUUAUACAGCAAAUGCUCACACUGCAGAGAGUCAGACUGAAAGUCCAAGUCAUACUGGCUGGUUCAGAUGAAGUAAAACAGUUUAUCUCCCACUUCCUCCAGAAUACCAGGAAUGGGAAGGCUGCAUGCAGUGGGCUCUGCCUGCUUCCCUGUUCCUGUGGCUCUGCAGAACAGAACUGAUACUGGUAUGUGGGGCACUGACAUUGGCUGCUCUAACACAGACACGAUGAGGCUUAAGAGCAAUGUAAGUGCAAAAAUUCACCAUAUCUUUUUCUGUUUGCAAAUGAAAUCCAGCAGUGAACACUGAAGACAGGCACUCUCUAGGAUCUGAAGAGCUGCCCCAAGAAGAAGGGAAGAGCUGGCCAUAUAAAAGGGAACUGGCAAGAAGUAUGGGUCCCAAAUAAGGAGGGAGGAUGGGUGAUUGUAUCGCCUGUCCUCCAGCCAGUCAGCUCUUCCCUUCCUCCAGGACAGCUCCAUGGCUUUGCUCAGUGUUUCCAAUCUCUUCUUGCCCACAGCAGUGACAACAGGCAGGGUGUUAUUUAAUUCACUGCUGUUUUCUCUGAGCACCUCACCAGUAUUAUGUAGCUUUGCCCCAGAGUACACUCCAGGUGAGAGAAAUAUCAUCUUCACCUUACAGGAGGCUCCAUGGCAGACCAGCUGGGACCCAAACAGCUCCAUGUGGUGCCCUAAUCCACACUGCACAGGUACACAGGAAUACUCCUGUGCUAAAGGACACCAGCAACAUUGCAAAAUGAAGCACUUAAAAGGUGAGGGUACAGAUGCAGGUGCUGUAAAUGCAGGCACAGCAGAGAAGAAAUCCAUCUCCCUCCAUUCUCCAUCCGCUGAAAGAAACCCGAAGCCGUGUGGGAUGACUUUCACCCCAUCUGCUCCAGGCAUGCCCUUUAAAAAAAACCUACGUCAUGUUUAUAGAUUUUGAAUCUUCGAGUUCCUGAAGCUUCAGCUGGAGUCAACAGGUGUCCAGGGCACUGGGAAAUGAUCUACAGAGAGUCAACAGUUUGCAGGACCAGGCUGCAUCCCUCUGGCGUUUGCCCUUCCUGGAGAUAACUGGAGAAGCCCUUUCAGAAGGAAUGGGCUGGAGGAAGGAGUAAAAAACACAGGGACAUGCAUGUGUCCCCAGGGGCCUGCUCCUGCCCCUCAUUCAAGGCCAUUAGCUGUGACCAUACCUCAUCCUCGUAGA
Molecule: non-coding RNA, 1290 nt
Organism: Taeniopygia guttata (zebra finch)
Lineage: Eukaryota; Metazoa; Chordata; Aves; Passeriformes; Estrildidae
Source: RefSeq, a predicted model, not a curated record